AGUGAACGCUGGCGGCAUGCCUUACACAUGCAAGUCGAACGGCAGUACGGGUGCUUGCACCUGGUGGCGAGUGGCGAACGGGUGAGUAAUACAUCGGCACAUGUCCUGUAGUGGGGGAUAGCCCGGCGAAAGCCGGAUUAAUACCGCAUACGAUCCACGGAUGAAAUCGAGGGACCUUCGGGCCUCGCGCUUCAGGGUUGGCCGAUGUCUGAUCAGCUAGUUGGUGGUGUAAAGGUCUACCAAGGCGACGAUCAGUAGCUGGUCUGAGAGGACGACCAGCCAGACUGGGACUGAGACACGGCCCAGACUCCGACGGGAGGCAGCAGUGGGGAAUUUUGGACAAUGGAGGAAAGCCUGAUCCAGCAAUGCCGGGUGUAUGAAGAAGGCCUUCUGGUUGUAAAGCACUUUUGUCCGGAAAGUUAUCCAUGGCUCUAAUACGGGCGGGGGAUGACGGUACCGGAAGAAUAAGCACCGGCUAACUACGUG
RNAcentral lists this ribosomal RNA (486 nucleotides) under uncultured bacterium. Its description in RNAcentral is "partial 16S ribosomal RNA". It matches the Rfam family "Bacterial small subunit ribosomal RNA", at positions 29 to 507 of the family's 1533-position model. The record is from RNAcentral.